GAAAUUUCGGAUUAAUACCCCAUAAUAUACCGAAGAGGCAUCUCUUUGUUACUUACACGAAUUUAUUCACUUGAACGACUGGCUGUGCGGCCUGAUUAGCGCUAGUUGGCGGGGUAACGGCCCACCAAGCCUGCGAUCAGUAACUGGUGUGACGAGCACGACAGUCACACGGGCACUGAGCACACGGGCCCCCACUCCCUACGGGAGGCAGCAGUAAGGAAUAUUGGUCAAUGGACGCAAGUCUGAACCAGUCCAUGCCGCGUGGACGGACUGAAGGUCCUCUGGAUUGCAAACCUUCUUUACUAUGGGACGAAAAAAGGCCUUUCAGGCUCNUCUGACGGUACCCACCAUGAACUAACGCANCCGGCUUAAACUCCUGUGCCCAAGCAAGCCCGGCAGCGAUANNAUACGCGACAGCAGGGGUUUCGCNAANACCCGCNCGUUUUUCAUUCCCCCGGGGGGAAUUUUCACAAGUUUGGGCUGAGUUUUCAANACACCGNGGGAUUUGCCCNAGAUAAGAAGCAUGGGCGCAAUAUGGCGUCAAACCCACUUCAAUGCACUUGCGCUCACGAAAAACAUCUNUUUCNCACACGGGANCGU
RNAcentral lists this ribosomal RNA (600 nucleotides) under uncultured bacterium. RNAcentral describes it as "partial 16S ribosomal RNA". The stretch from base 1 to 392 matches the Rfam family "Bacterial small subunit ribosomal RNA", at positions 152 to 539 of the family's 1533-position model. The record is from RNAcentral.